RNAcentral lists this ribosomal RNA (585 nucleotides) under Triticum aestivum (bread wheat). RNAcentral's name for it is "partial small subunit ribosomal RNA". The record is from RNAcentral. Lineage: Eukaryota; Viridiplantae; Streptophyta; Magnoliopsida; Poales; Poaceae.
AUGGUAGAAGAUCAACGCCCCAACGCCAGGGACUUGCAUGUGAUUCCCCAAGAAGCACAAGGGGCCAGAACUAGUCCGUGUGCUAAUCCUGCACCUUCCGCUGCUAGUUGGCUCCCUCCACUAGAGAGCGAUGCAAAACUGAAUGUGGAUGGCGGCAUAUCUAGAAGGGGAGAUCGAGGGGCUGCAGCUGUCAUAUGCCGAGACAAGAUUGGCCAGUACUUGGGGGCUUCUGCGAUGGUUUUCGACGGUCUCGUUGACCCAGCGACUCUUGAAGCCCGAGCGUGCAGUGAAGCACUGACGCUAGCAUCAGACCUAAACCUCCGGUCUAUCUGUGUGGCGUCUGAUUGUGCGGAGGUGGUCGCCAAUCUGGAGACUGGAGGUCCGUUCCGCUACGCUAUGAUUCUUGAGGAGUUUAGAGCACAAAGAGUUUCUUUUGACUUUAUUCGAGUAGUUCAUGAGAGGAGGAUCCAUAAUGCUGAGGCUCAUUCGUUGGCCAAAGCGGCCUCCUCUCUCCAUCCUGGGCGCCACGUGUGGCUAGAUGUUUUGCCCAAUAUCAUUUGUAUUCCGUCAAAACUUGAUGCUUAA